GCUUUCCUGCGGUGCUCGUCACGGCUCAGAUUCCUUGAACCGAUAAAUUGCUACCCGGCUGCCAGCCACGAAAAUUCGCCUGUUGUGAGCGUUCCCUAGUCGAACGCACCUGAUGGCAAACGGCAGGCAGCCACUUGAACCUCAGGGUUCAGGAUGCGAGCCGGACGACACCUGCGGGAAAGCC
RNAcentral lists this non-coding RNA (184 nucleotides) under Andreprevotia lacus DSM 23236. RNAcentral describes it as "6S / SsrS RNA". It matches the Rfam family "6S / SsrS RNA". From Rfam's summary of the family: E. coli 6S RNA was the first non coding RNA to be sequenced, but its function was unknown until recently. It consists of 184 nucleotides that fold into an extended hairpin structure with a large single-stranded internal bulge. Lineage: Bacteria; Pseudomonadati; Pseudomonadota; Betaproteobacteria; Neisseriales; Chitinibacteraceae. The record is from Rfam by way of RNAcentral.